Molecule: non-coding RNA, 71 nt
Organism: Spinacia oleracea (spinach)
Lineage: Eukaryota; Viridiplantae; Streptophyta; Magnoliopsida; Caryophyllales; Amaranthaceae
Source: Rfam
AACCUAUUAGCUUAAAUGGGAGAGCAUUGUGCAAAUGCACAAAGAUGUGGGUUCGAAUCCCACAUGGGUAA